RNAcentral lists this long non-coding RNA (5579 nucleotides) under Capsella rubella. Its description in RNAcentral is "long non-coding RNA (CRUB_LNC002021)". Lineage: Eukaryota; Viridiplantae; Streptophyta; Magnoliopsida; Brassicales; Brassicaceae. The record is from RNAcentral.
CACAGAAAAGUAAGAACUUGCAGAAAGAUAAAGAACACAAGAGAUUUAACGAGUUCACGACCCAUUAACCAUGGUCGCUACGUCUCGCCGAGGCUAUCCCCGGAAUCCACUAGUUUUCAGUUUGGUGUUUACAACAAGAACAUACAAGUGACAGCCUAAUGCCCUUCACUAGCACUUAAGCUCACUUCGUAGUGUUCUUGAAUAAGAGACAACAAUGAUCUUAAGCUUAUGCUAAACAAAGUUUCUCUCUUUCUCACCUCUCAGAAAACUCUCACACUCCAUCUCUCAACUCUCUGCAUAAUGUUCCUCUUUUAUAGUGGAGACACUAAACCCUUGUGCGGCAACCCUAAUGCAGCUGGCACCAUCUUCAUUCAAACUUGAUUAUGGAUCUACAGCCACACAUCUUGAACCUGAUUACAAGACACACCAACGUUCCUUUUGCCAAAACCUGCAACUCUGCUUUUUUUGUCUUGUUGCAGUUUCUGAUUUUGGUCUGUGGUCCCAAAAGCUUAACUUAACUCUAGUUUGAUUUAUGUCACCUGAGUUACUCCUUGAGUUGUCUUUAUUGUCACCAAUGAGGCUUGUUCAUCACGUCUCAUCUUCACAAAUCUCCACCUGAGACAAAGAUGAUCAAGCCAAUCAGCCACACUUAACUUAGAGAGAGAGAUAUAGUACCUUGAACUAGUAUCUGGAUUCCAGCCUCGGAUCCCUGAGUAGAUUACUCAGACUUGACCUGUAACAAGUUCAAUGCAGUUUGAAACUUGUUAACAGGUAACACCUUUGUGAAAAUAUCAGCAGGAUUCUUCUCUGUUGAAAUUUUCAGAACUUCCACAUCACCAUUAGCAAUCACAUCUCUGAUGAAGUGGUGUUUCACAUCAAUGUGCUUUGUUCUUUCAUGAUGCACAUUGUUCUUUGAGAGUGCAAUGGCACUCUGAGAAUCGCAGAAGAUCUCGACAGUCUUCUGUUCAUAGCCAAACUCCCUAAGAAUUCCCUUCAACCACACAGCCUCUUUUACUGCUUCAGUCAAUGCCAUAUACUCAGACUCCGUAGUUGAUAUUGAUACAACUCUUUGCAGACCAGAUUUCCAACUUAGUGUGUUUCCUCCAAGAGUAAACACCAAACCUGUGGUAGAUCUUCUACUAUCUCUAUCACCUCCAUAAUCUGCAUCACAGUAACCCACCAGCUUAAAUUCAGAACUCUUCUUGUAGCACAACUUUGUUGAUAGUGUGCCUUUGAUGUACUUCAACACCCACUUGACUCCAUGCCAGUGAUCUCUCACAGGCUGGCUCAUGAAUCUGCUUAUGAUUCCUACAGGAAAGGCCAAAUCUAAUCGUGUACCAACCAUAGCAUACAUAAUGCUCCCCACAGCGUUGCAGUAAGGAACUGUCUUCAUGUAAUCUUCAUCCCUGGCCACUUUUUCUGGUGUAGCAGCACUCAGUUUUAACUCUGCUCCUAGUGGAGUUGCUGCAGGCUUUGUGUUCUGCAUAUUGUAAGUCUCAAGAACUUUGUUCAGAUAACCUUCUUGAGACAGUCUCAAGACCCCCAACUUUCUGUCUCUGAUGAUCUCAAUGCCUAGGAUCCUUUUUGCAGGUCCAAGAUCCUUCAUUUCAAACUUUAAGCUGAGCUCCUCCUUUAGCUUAGCAAUUGCUUCUUUGUCUUUGGAGGCAACCAGCAUGUCAUCUACAUAGAGAAGUAGAUACAUGAUAGAAUCUUCACCAAGCUUCUUUGUGUAAGCACAAUAGUCAUAUUGACUUCUGACAAAACCGAUUUCAGACAUGUACUUGUCAAAUUUCUCAUUCCACUGCCUUGGUGCCUGUUUCAACCCGUACAGAGCUUUGUUCAAAAGACAUACUUGAUUGUCUUUGAACAUGCAUUCAUAUCCCUCAGGAGGAGUCAUGUAGAUCUUUUCCUUUAACUCUCCAUUAAGGAAAGCUGUCUUGACGUCUAACUGCUCCAGCUCUAAGUCUUAUUGAGCAACAAUAGCAAGCAGAAUCCUUAUGGAUACGUGUUUUACUACAGGAGCAAAGAUCUCAUGAUAAUCGAUUCCUUCUCUCUGAGCAUACCCUUUGGCAACAAGUCUAGCUUUGUAACGAGGUUCUUCCACGCCUGGUAUCCCAAGUUUAUACUUGUAGAUCCACUUACACCCUAUUACUCUUUGAUUUUCAGGUCUUUCCACUGUAGUCCAGGUGUUAUUCUUCAUCUGAGAAUCGAUUUCCUCAUCCAUAGCUAGCUUCCAUUUCAGCCAAUUAACAUCUCUUUUAGCAUCUCUGUAAUCUUCAGGUUCUAGAGUAUCUCCAUCUUCUGUAGUGCAUAAAGCUUCUAGAUAAUAAUCUUCAUCAUCAAAUCUGACAGGUGGUCUGAUUUGUCUUCUUUCUCUGUCUCUAACCAGAUGAUAGCUUCUAGGAGAUUGAUUUACAUCAAUUCCUGCAUCAUCAUUAACCUGUGUUGGAGAUUGCAGGUUUGGUGAACUUGAUCUUGGUGAGUGAUGUUCAGCUUCAUGAUCUCCACCUGAGAUAGUAUCUCUUUCUGCAUCAAGAUCCAAUUCAACAUAUGAUCUAGAUAGAUCAUCUUCUUCCACAGCAAUGCUUUCAUUUCCCUUUAGCAAAUCUUUAUAGACUGCAUUUUCUUGAAAGAUAACAUUUCUGCUGACUGCAAAUUUCUUUUCAUCUAUCAACCAAACCUUGUAACCUUUCACUCCAACCGGAUAACCAACAAGUAUACCCUUCUUAGCUCUCGGAUUUAGCUUCCCAUCAUCACUGUGAACGAAAGUAACACAACCAAAUCUUCUUAGGUAGCUGUAAACCGGAGCCUUUCCAGACCAUUUUUUGUCUGGGAUAUCAAAAUUCAGUGCUGAUGAUGGCGUUUUGUUGAUUAGAAUAACUGCAGUGUGAGUGGCUUCAGCCCAAAAUCUCUUUGGUAACCCUGAAUCACUCAACAUACUUCUGACCUUUUCCAUGAUGGUUCUGUUCAUACGUUCUGCAACUCCGUUUUGUUGCGGAGUGUAAGCACAUGUUCUGUGCCUCAGAAUCCCUUUUGCUUCACAGAAACCAUCAAACUGUUUGUUGCAGUAUUCAAGUCCAUUGUCAGUUCUGAGAGUCUUCAACUUCAGCUCAGUUUGAUUCUCCACCAUAUUAACCCACUCAACAAACUUAUCAAACGCUUCAUCUUUAAAUUUCAGAAAGUAUACCCACACUUUUCUCGAGUAAUCAUCAAUGAAUGAUAUGAAGUACUGGCACUUACCAAGUGAGAAUGGAACAGAUGGUGCUCCCCAUAAGUCUGAAUGCACAUACUCAAGCUUUUCCUUUGUGUUGUGCUGAGCUAUGUUAAAACCCACUCUUUUAGAUCUUCCAUAUAUGCAGUCUUCACACAAAUCAAAGGUUGUCACUUUCUUCUUGUCUAGAAGCCCUUUGUUGAGCAGCACAUUCAUGUUUUUCUGACUCAUGUGACCCAAUCUUCUGUGCCAGAGCACUGUAUCAUCUUCUCUCUUUUCAGUAGCAUGUGAUUCUUCUAUCACAGCUUUUCCUUGAAGUAGAUAUAGUGUCUCAUGUCUUCUUCCUUGUAGAAGAGUCUGUCCUCCAACCUUGAUACUUAGAAUACCAUUCUCUGAUUCAAAUCUGUAACCGGAUUUCUCAAAAGUGCCAAGAGAUAACAAAUUUCUGUCCAUCUCAGGAAUGUAUUUCACAUUUGUGAGCACUACAUUCAAACCGUCUUCAUUCUUGAUGCGAAUACUCCCUACUCCUUUGACCUUAGAGACUGUUUUAUUUCCCAUUCUGACUGCACCUCCAGCUUCUUCAUUUAAAUGCUCAAACCAGUCUCUUCUGUAGGUCAUGUGACAGCUACAGCCAGUAUCCAUGAUCCACUCAUUCUCCAGAUUUACUUCUGUUGAAUGUAGAGCUUCUGUCACAUACAACCCAGUAGCUUCCACUAGGUUCGCUUUUGCUGUAGAAGCUUCAGCCUUGUUGUUUCCUUGAUCUUUGGGUCUUGUCUGAGCUUUGUUCUUGUUUGGGCAGGAACUCUUAAAGUGACCUUCUUCUCCACAGAUCCAACACCCUCGUUUACUCUUAGAUUUGGAUCUUGCUCUGUUACCCUUGCCUUUUUCUCUCUGCUCAUAUCUUCCCCUGUUCUCUGCCUUAUCUUUGACAUACAACCCUUCUGCUUGAGUUUUAGGGCUCUUUCUACUUAAACCCAGCUCUAGUUCUUUAGCAUGAAUGACUGAAAUGAUUUCAUCUAGAGACAAAGUAGUUCUAGCUGUCCCAUAUCUCAGUGUAUCUCUUAACUGGUCAAACUGUCUAGGCAAAGACAUCAACAACAGUAUGGCUUGAUCUUCAUCAGCUAUACUAACAUUAGUGUUCUCCAGAUCAGCUAUUAAACGUAGAAAGUCAUCAAUAUUACCUUCAAUAGACUGAUUUUCGUUCAUCUUGAAGCUGUAAAGCUUUUGUUUCAGAUAUAUCCUGUUUGGCAGAGCCUUAGACAUGUACAGCUUGUCCAAAGCAGUGAACAUUGAAGCUGCAGUCUUCUCCUUGAUAAUCUUUCUAAGGACCUGGUUUGAAACACUCAAGAUGAUAGUGCUUCUUGCUUUCUUCAUCUUUUCUUCAGAGAUUUCUUCUGCUACCUUCUUGUCUUUCCCUUCUUCUGUCUUCUCUGAAUCUGAGACCUUUUCUUCUGAAAUCUUAGUCUCUCUUAAAGCUUCACUCAGACCUAAUAUCUCCAGAUGAGCAAUGAGUUUCUCCUUCCACAAUGUGUAGUCUCCACGCCCAUCAAAUUUCUCAACCUCUAUUCUUGCUGAUGCCAUGAUUCUUGACUGGAGAGAUCUUUACAGAACCACAACCAAGUAACCAAGGCUCUGAUACCACUCUGUUAAGGUUUACAAAGUCAAAGGUGUAGACUUUCCUCUGUUGCAAACCAGAAAACCAAGAAAGAAGCUUGUGUGUUUGUGAAACAGAGCAGUGAAGCACAAAACAGAGAGCAAUAAACACAGAAAAGUAAGAACUUGCAGAAAGAUAAAGAACACAAGAGAUUUAACGAGUUCACGACCCAUUAACCAUGGUCGCUACGUCUCGCCGAGGCUAUCCCCGGAAUCCACUAGUUUUCAGUUUGGUGUUUACAACAAGAACAUACAAGUGACAGCCUAAUGCCCUUCACUAGCACUUAAGCUCACUUCGUAGUGUUCUUGAAUAAGAGACAACAAUGAUCUUAAGCUUAUGCUAAACAAAGUUUCUCUCUUUCUCACCUCUCAGAAAACUCUCACACUCCAUCUCUCAACUCUCUGCAUAAUGUUCCUCUUUUAUAGUGGAGACACUAAACCCUUGUGCGGCAACCCUAAUGCAGCUGGCACCAUCUUCAUUCAAACUUGAUUAUGGAUCUACAGCCACACAUCUUGAACCUGAUUACAAGACACACCAACGUUCCUUUUGCCAAAACCUGCAACUCUGCUUUUUUUGUCUUGUUGCAGUUUCUGAUUUUGGUCUGUGGUCCCAAAAGCUUAACUUAACUCUAGUUUGAUUUAUGUCACCUGAGUUACUCCUUGAGUUGUCUUUAUUGUCACCAAUGAGGCUUGUUCAUCACGUCUCAUCUUCACA